GGUAGGAGUAAGCCUACCUAUUAACAGAGAAGGCGCGCGAGGUGGUGGCGAGCGGCGUGGUGGCCCGCGGGGCGCAAGUGCCCGUUCUGUCGCUCGCCGUGCCGGCUGUCAGGGUGACGGACGGCGGUUGUUUUUACGGGAGACCCACAGGUCGGAAUGGUUGAAGGGCACACUGGGGGAACAUGGUAGUCAGCGACAAUGGAAACCUUUCAACUGUAUGUUCAAGAGUAUCUUUGGGGACCGACAAACACUAUUUCCUUGCAAACGACCACCGGGUCAAAGACGUCCUUACACUGGAUUAAUUGGGCCUUGCAAUAUUGAAUCCUGCGUCGUCUCCUGCCGUACAUCCAUUGAGUCAUAUCUUGGUCAGGUUUUUUUAACAUGUACGGCACCUUUUGCAACUCACUAAUCAUACUUCAAACAAUAUGAAUGAAAGAAAUGACACACAGAUCAUUCACAGUUGUCGGAGCUUUGAAACGUGCUGUUUAAAGAUAGCAUUUAUUGUGGGGUUAUUGUUGUGACAAAACACCUACCUACUAUUUCCUGUAAAUCAUCAUGUACAAUAUCAAAUCAUAGUAUCGUAUGUUUGUUUAUGUUUGAUAUUUAUUGCAAGAGGGGCCAUUUGAUCUAAUCUCUCGUCCAUUUACAGUCUAUAAGUACAUACGCUGGAAAUGAUUGUACUGAACGUUUUUGGCCACAGACAUAUUUGUUGAACAAAGAAAAACAAGGAUUUUAGAUGAGAAUCCACAAAGAUAUUGCACGAUGAUAAGAUUGUGCAGUUCAACACC
Long non-coding RNA from Gasterosteus aculeatus aculeatus (three-spined stickleback), 788 nucleotides. NCBI's taxonomy places the organism in Eukaryota, Metazoa, Chordata, Actinopteri, Perciformes, Gasterosteidae. The record is from Ensembl.